CCUACGGGAGGCAGCAGUGAGGAAUAUUGGUCAAUGGUCGGGAGACUGAACCAGCCAAGCCGCGUGAGGGAGGAAGGUACAGAGUAUCGUAAACCUCUUUUGUCAGGGAACAAAGGCGGGGACGUGUCCCCGGAUGAGUGUACCUGAAGAAAAAGCAUCGGCUAACUCCGUGCCAGCAGCCGCGGUAAUACGGAGGAUGCGAGCGUUAUCCGGAUUUAUUGGGUUAAAAGGGUGCGCAGGCGGUCUGUUAAGUCAGCGGGCAAAGCCCGGGGCUCAACCCCGGCCCGCCGUUGAAACUGGCAGUCUCGAGUUGGAGAGAAGUAUGCGGAAUGCGCGGUGUAGCGGUGAAAUGCAUAGAUAUCGCGCAGAACUCCGAUUGCGAAGGCAGCAUGCCGGCUCCACACUGACGCUGAGGCACGAAAGCGUGGGUAUCGAACAGGAUUAGAUACCCUUGUAGUC
Molecule: ribosomal RNA, 459 nt
Filed under: uncultured bacterium
Lineage: Bacteria
Description: partial 16S ribosomal RNA
Rfam family: Bacterial small subunit ribosomal RNA
Source: RNAcentral